Molecule: ribosomal RNA, 468 nt
Filed under: uncultured bacterium
Lineage: Bacteria
Description: partial 16S ribosomal RNA
Rfam family: Bacterial small subunit ribosomal RNA
Source: RNAcentral
GACGAACGCUGGCGGCGUGCUUAACACAUGCAAGUCGAACGAAAAGGCCCUGCUUUUGUGGGGUGCUCGAGUGGCGAACGGGUGAGUAACACGUGAGUAACCUGCCCUUGACUUUGGGAUAACUUCAGGAAACUGGGGCUAAUACCGGAUAGGAGCUCCUGCUGCAUGGUGGGGGUUGGAAAGUUUCGGCGGUUGGGGAUGGACUCGCGGCUUAUCAGCUUGUUGGUGGGGUAGUGGCUUACGAAGGCUUUGACGGGUAGCCGGCCUGAGAGGGUGACCGGCCACAUUGGGACUGAGAUACGGCCCAGACUCCUACGGGAGGCAGCAGUGGGGAAUAGUGCACAAUGGGCGGAAGCCUGAUGCAGCAACGCCGCGUGCGGGAUGACGGCCUUCGGGUUGUAAACCGCUUUCGCCUGUGACGAAGCGUGAGUGACGGUAAUGGGUAAAGAAGCACCGGCUAACUACGUG